GGGGCUGUGGCUCAGUGGCAGACCAUCAGCUUUGUGUGCAGAAGGUCCCAGGUUCAAUCCCUGGCAUUUCCA
Gekko japonicus is the source of this 72-nucleotide non-coding RNA. The record is from the annotation of a RefSeq genome assembly. NCBI's taxonomy places the organism in Eukaryota, Metazoa, Chordata, Lepidosauria, Squamata, Gekkonidae.